RNAcentral lists this long non-coding RNA (347 nucleotides) under Mus pahari (shrew mouse). RNAcentral's name for it is "lncRNA (MGP_PahariEiJ_G0006245.1)". Lineage: Eukaryota; Metazoa; Chordata; Mammalia; Rodentia; Muridae. The record is from RNAcentral.
AUCUAACAUCCCUGAGGGCUGGAUGGGGCCGAAGAUGGCGGAGCACUAGCAGGCCUGAGCCAUUAAGAGAAGCUGAAGUGUUUUAAGUGCUUUGGGGCAUUUGGAAUCUGAUGUGUCACUGAGACAUCCAGCUGAACACUUCCCAUAGCUGUAGCAUUUUCUGAGUCAAGAAAGAACUGAGGGCUAGAGAGAUGGCUCAGCAGUUAAAAGCACUGACUGCUCUUCCAGAGGUCCUGAGUUCAACUCUCAGCAACCACAUGGUGGCUCACAACCAUCUGUAAUGGGAUCCAAUGCUUUCUUCUGGUGUGUCUGAAGACAGUGACAGUGUACUCAUAUAAAUAAAAUAA